UACGACGGGGGCUAGCGUUGUUCGGAAUCACUGGGCGUAAAGCGCACGCAGGCGGAUCGAUAAGUCGGGGGUGAAAGCCCGGGGCUCAACCUCGGAAUUGCCUUCGAUACUGUCGGUCUCGAGUCCGGGAGUGGUGAGUGGAAUUCCUAGUGUAGAGGUGAAAUUCGUAGAUAUUAGGAAGAACACCAGUGGCGAAGGCGGCUCACUGGCCCGGUACUGACGCUCAGGUGAGAAAGCGUGGGGAGCAAACAGG
This 253-nucleotide ribosomal RNA is filed under the name uncultured bacterium. Its description in RNAcentral is "partial 16S ribosomal RNA". It matches the Rfam family "Bacterial small subunit ribosomal RNA", at positions 524 to 776 of the family's 1533-position model. The record is from RNAcentral.